UACAGAGGUCUCGAGCGUUAGGCGGAAUCACUGGGCUUAAAGCGUGUGUAGGCGGGUCGGUAAGUACCUUGUGAAAUCCCACGGCUCAACCGUGGAACUGCUGGGUAUACUGCCGAUCUUGUGCAACCUAGGGGCGAGCGGAACAGAUGGUGGAGCGGUGAAAUGCGUAGAUAUCAUCUGGAACGCCAAUGGUGAAAACAGCUCGCUGGGGGUUUGCAGACGCUGAGACACGAAAGCGUGGGGAGCGAACAGG
Molecule: ribosomal RNA, 253 nt
Filed under: uncultured bacterium
Lineage: Bacteria
Description: partial 16S ribosomal RNA
Rfam family: Bacterial small subunit ribosomal RNA
Source: RNAcentral